This 497-nucleotide ribosomal RNA is filed under the name uncultured bacterium. RNAcentral describes it as "partial 16S ribosomal RNA". It matches the Rfam family "Bacterial small subunit ribosomal RNA", at positions 28 to 507 of the family's 1533-position model. The record is from RNAcentral.
GAUGAACGCUGGCGGCGUGCCUAAUACAUGCAAGUCGAGCGAACAGACGAGGAGCUUGCUCCUCUGACGUUAGCGGCGGACGGGUGAGUAACACGUGGAUAACCUACCUAUAAGACUGGGAUAACUUCGGGAAACCGGAGCUAAUACCGGAUAAUAUAUUGAACCGCAUGGUUCAAUAGUGAAAGACGGUUUUGCCGUCACUUAUAGAUGGAUCCGCGCCGCAUUAGCUAGUUGGUAAGGUAACGGCUUACCAAGGCAACGAUGCGUAGCCGACCGGAGAGGGUGAUCGGCCACCUUGGAACUGAGACACGGUCCAGACUCCUACGGGAGGCAGCAGUAGGGAAUCUUCCGCAAUGGGCGAAAGCCUGACGGAGCAACGCCGCGUGAGUGAUGAAGGUCUUCGGAUCGUAAAACUCUGUUAUUAGGGAAGAACAAAUGUGUAAGUAACUAUGCACGUCUUGACGGUACCUAAUCAGAAAGCCACGGCUAACUACGUG